RNAcentral lists this ribosomal RNA (496 nucleotides) under uncultured bacterium. RNAcentral's name for it is "partial 16S ribosomal RNA". It matches the Rfam family "Bacterial small subunit ribosomal RNA", at positions 28 to 506 of the family's 1533-position model. The record is from RNAcentral.
GAUGAACGCUGGCGGCGUGCCUAAUACAUGCAAGUCGAGCGAACGGACGAGAAGCUUGCUUCUCUGAUGUUAGCGGCGGACGGGUGAGUAACACGUGGAUAACCUACCUAUAAGACUGGGAUAACUUCGGGAAACCGGAGCUAAUACCGGAUAAUAUUUUGAACCGCAUGGUUCAAAAGUGAAAGACGGUCUUGCUGUCACUUAUAGAUGGAUCCGCGCUGCAUUAGCUAGUUGGUAAGGUAACGGCUUACCAAGGCAACGAUGCAUAGCCGACCUGAGAGGGUGAACGGCCCAACUGGAACUGAGACACGGCCCAGACCCCUACGGGGGGCAGCAGUAGGGAAUUUUCCGAAAUGGGCGAAAGCCUGACGGAGCAACGCCGCGUGGGGGAUGAAGGUCUUCGGAUCGUAAAACUCUUUUAUUAGGGAAGAACAUAUGUGUAAGUAACUGUGCAAAUCUGGACGGUACCUAAUAAGAAAGCCCCGGCUAACUACGU